UACGUAGGGUGCAAGCGUUGUCCGGAAUUAUUGGGCGUAAAGAGCUCGUAGGCGGUCUGUCGCGUCGGAUGUGAAAAUCCAGGGCUUAACCCUGGGCCUGCAUUCGAUACGGGCAGACUAGAGUUCGGUAGGGGAGACUGGAAUUCCUGGUGUAGCGGUGAAAUGCGCAGAUAUCAGGAGGAACACCGGUGGCGAAGGCGGGUCUCUGGGACGGUACUGACGCUGAGACGCGAAAGCGUGGGGAGCGAACAGG
RNAcentral lists this ribosomal RNA (253 nucleotides) under uncultured bacterium. Its description in RNAcentral is "partial 16S ribosomal RNA". It matches the Rfam family "Bacterial small subunit ribosomal RNA", at positions 524 to 776 of the family's 1533-position model. The record is from RNAcentral.